Molecule: long non-coding RNA, 280 nt
Filed under: Elaeis guineensis (African oil palm)
Lineage: Eukaryota; Viridiplantae; Streptophyta; Magnoliopsida; Arecales; Arecaceae
Description: long non-coding RNA (EGUI_LNC001346)
Source: RNAcentral
CCUGAAUGUUCGGAAUGUGAGAGUUAUAAUAUUUAGUGAGCGGUUAUCUCAUUAACUGCUGUUAAAGCUGAGUAAUGGGCCAUCUGUGGGCGACUAUUGCGCUCCACAUUCGUAUGUGAUUAAUGCUCAUAUCAAGUAAUUGUCGUCGAUAGAUAGUCGGUAUGGUCUGAGGAAAUAGUCGGAUAGAUACCGAAUAUUAUCACCUAAUCAUAAGUUGCAUGUCGAAUCAAGUCGGUUAGCUACCAACUUAGUUAGGUCUAUUGCUUUCAGUCGGUGGUCA